Molecule: ribosomal RNA, 522 nt
Filed under: uncultured Nitrospira sp.
Lineage: Bacteria; Pseudomonadati; Nitrospirota; Nitrospiria; Nitrospirales; Nitrospiraceae
Description: bacterial SSU rRNA
Rfam family: Bacterial small subunit ribosomal RNA
Source: RNAcentral
AGAGUUUGAUCCUGGCUCAGAACGAACGCUGGCGGCGCGCCUAAUACAUGCAAGUCGAACGAGAAUGUGUAGCAAUACACAUGUACAGUGGCGAACGGGUGAGGACUACAUGGGUAACCUACCCUCGAGUGGGGAAUAACUAGCCGAAAGGUUAGCUAAUACCGCGUACGCUUCCCAGACUGCGGUUUGGGAAGGAAAGCGAUACCGUGGGUAUCGCGCUCUUGGAUGGGCUCAUGCCCUAUCAGCUUGUUGGUGAGGUAACGGCUCACCAAGGCUUCGACGGGUAGCUGAUCUGAGAGGAUGAUCAGCCACACUGGCACUGCGACACGGGCCAGACUCCUACGGGAGGCAGCAGUAAGGAAUAUUGCGCAAUGGGCGAAAGCCUGACGCAGCGACGCCGCGUGGGGGAUGAAGGUCUUCGGAUUGUAAACCCCUUUCGGGAGGGAAGAUGGGAUGGGGUAACCCAUUCGGACGGUACCUCCAGAAGCAGCCACGGCUAACUUCGUGCCAGCAGCCGCGGUA